GCUGGGAUGGCCGAGUCGUUAAGGCGAGUGAUUUGAAUAAGCCUCUUAUCAAGGCGAAUUAUCACUUGGUGUUUCACCGCGUAGGUUCAAAUCCUGCUCUCAGCG
This is a non-coding RNA of Crassisporium funariophilum, 105 nucleotides long. Lineage: Eukaryota; Fungi; Basidiomycota; Agaricomycetes; Agaricales; Crassisporiaceae. The record is from the annotation of a GenBank genome assembly.